UACGUACCGUACGAACGUUAUUCGGAAUCACUGGGCUUAAAGAGUUCGUAGGCGGCUUGGCAAGUUGGGUGUGAAAUCCCUCGGCCUAACCGAGGAACUGCAUUCAAAACUGGCGGGCUUGAGGAAGACAGAGGUGAGCGGAACUCACGGUGGAGCGGUGAAAUGCGUUGAUAUCGUGAGGAACACCGGUGGCGAAAGCGGCUCACUGGGUCUUUUCUGACGCUGAGGAGCGAAAGCUAGGGGAGCAAACGGG
Molecule: ribosomal RNA, 253 nt
Filed under: uncultured bacterium
Lineage: Bacteria
Description: partial 16S ribosomal RNA
Rfam family: Bacterial small subunit ribosomal RNA
Source: RNAcentral